This 85-nucleotide ribosomal RNA is filed under the name Enterobacter hormaechei. Its description in RNAcentral is "partial 23S ribosomal RNA". It matches the Rfam family "Bacterial large subunit ribosomal RNA", at positions 2841 to 2925 of the family's 2925-position model. RNAcentral also lists the same sequence under 4 other names. The record is from RNAcentral. Lineage: Bacteria; Pseudomonadati; Pseudomonadota; Gammaproteobacteria; Enterobacterales; Enterobacteriaceae.
AAGACUAUGACGUUGAUAGGUCGGGUGUGUAAGCGCAGCGAUGCGUUGAGCUAACCGAUACUAAUGAACCGUGAGGCUUAACCUU